This 275-nucleotide ribosomal RNA is filed under the name uncultured bacterium. Its description in RNAcentral is "partial 16S ribosomal RNA". It matches the Rfam family "Bacterial small subunit ribosomal RNA", at positions 338 to 606 of the family's 1533-position model. The record is from RNAcentral.
CCUACGGGGGGCUGCAGUCGCGAAUUUUUCUCAAUGGGCGCAAGCCUGAAGAAGCCAUGCCGCGUGCGGGACGAAGGCCCUCUGGGUUGUAAACCGCUGUCAGGGAAGGGGAAACGCUGGGUGUUAACAGCAUCCAGUUUGACUGCUUUCCAAAGGAAGCCCCGGCAAAACAUGUGCCAGCAGCCGCGGUAAUACAUGUGGGGCGAGCGUUGUUCGGAAUCACUGGGCAUAAAGGGUGCGUAGGCGGCAUGAUACGUCUUGGGUGAAAUCCUGCG